UGAGUCAUGGGUUUUGACAAGUGUUGGCCUCAGAUUCUUGCCAUGAAUUAGCCACGUCUUCUAUGACUCAUCUGCAAGUGAUUUGAGCAGCUCAUGCAGGAGUUUGCUCAUUCACCAAGUUUUGAAAGGUUUGAAGCAAAAGUGAGUUUGAGAGAGUUUGAGAGUGUGAGAAGAGGUGAUCCGUUUUCCCUUGUUCAGAGUGUUUANN
This 208-nucleotide long non-coding RNA is filed under the name Manihot esculenta (cassava). RNAcentral's name for it is "long non-coding RNA (MESC_LNC011324)". Lineage: Eukaryota; Viridiplantae; Streptophyta; Magnoliopsida; Malpighiales; Euphorbiaceae. The record is from RNAcentral.